GGGAGUAGGGUUCGUACCAGAAGUAGGUAGGCUAACCGCAAGGGGCGGCUUACCACGGUAGGAGUUCAUGACUGGGGUG
Molecule: ribosomal RNA, 79 nt
Filed under: uncultured bacterium
Lineage: Bacteria
Description: partial 16S ribosomal RNA
Source: RNAcentral